Molecule: ribosomal RNA, 466 nt
Filed under: Typosyllis adamanteus kurilensis
Lineage: Eukaryota; Metazoa; Annelida; Polychaeta; Phyllodocida; Syllidae
Description: Syllis adamanteus kurilensis partial 16S ribosomal RNA
Rfam family: Bacterial large subunit ribosomal RNA
Source: RNAcentral
CUGCCCAGUGAACAUAACAAUAGUUAUUACGUUUCAACGGCCGCGGUAUUCCUGACCGUGCUAAGGUAGCACAAUCAUGAGCCUCUUAAUUAGGGGAUAGAAUGAAUGAAUUAACAAGAAAUAUGCUGUCUCUUUUUUGCAAAUUGAAAUUUAGAUCUAGGUGCAAACUCCUAGAUUUUUAACAAAGACAGAAAGACCCUAUAAGCUUUUAUUCUAAUAUUUUAUAAAUAAAAAAAUAUUUAAUUGGGGCGAUUUUAAGUAAAAAACACUUUUUAUAAUUAGAGAAAUAACUCAUUAAAUCUAUCUAAUAGCAUAUAAGUAAGUUACUAUAGGGAUAACAGGCUAAUACUUCUUGAGAGCACAUAUCAACAGAAGUGCUUAGCACCUCGAUGUUGGCUUAAGGAACCUAAUCUAUGCAGAAGUAGAAUAAGGGGGUUUGUUCAACCUUUAAUUCCUUACGUGAUCU